Molecule: ribosomal RNA, 254 nt
Filed under: uncultured bacterium
Lineage: Bacteria
Description: partial 16S ribosomal RNA
Rfam family: Bacterial small subunit ribosomal RNA
Source: RNAcentral
UACGGGGGGAGCAAGCGUUGUUCGGAUUUACUGGGCGUAAAGGGCGCGUAGGCGGCCACUGCAAGUCAGUUGUGAAAUCUCCGGGCUUAACCCGGAAAGGUCAACCGAUACUGCAGGGCUAGAGUGCAGAAGGGGCAACUGGAAUUCUCGGUGUAGCGGUGAAAUGCGUAGAUAUCGAGAGGAACACCUGCGGCGAAGGCGGGUUGCUGGGCUGACACUGACGCUGAGGCGCGAAAGCCAGGGGAGCGAACGGG